This 592-nucleotide ribosomal RNA is filed under the name uncultured bacterium. RNAcentral describes it as "bacterial SSU rRNA". It matches the Rfam family "Bacterial small subunit ribosomal RNA", at positions 334 to 917 of the family's 1533-position model. The record is from RNAcentral.
UACUCCUACGGGAGGCAGCAGUAGGGAAUCUUCCACAAUGGACGCAAGUCUGAUGGAGCAACGCCGCGUGAGUGAAGAAGGCUUUCGGGUCGUAAAACUCUGUUGUUGGAGAAGAAUGGUCGGCAGAGUAACUGUUGUCGGCGUGACGGUAUCCAACCAGUAAGCCACGGCUAACUACGUGCCAGCAGCCGCGGUAAUACGUAGGUGGCAAGCGUUAUCCGGAUUUAUUGGGCGUAAAGCGAGCGCAGGCGGUUUUUUAAGUCUGAUGUGAAAGCCCUCGGCUUAACCGAGGAAGUGCAUCGGAAACUGGGAAACUUGAGUGCAGAAGAGGACAGUGGAACUCCAUGUGUAGCGGUGAAAUGCGUAGAUAUAUGGAAGAACACCAGUGGCGAAGGCGGCUGUCUGGUCUGUAACUGACGCUGAGGCUCGAAAGCAUGGGUAGCGAACAGGAUUAGAUACCCUGGUAGUCCAUGCCGUAAACGAUGAAUGCUAGGUGUUGGAGGGUUUCCGCCCUUCAGUGCCGCAGCUAACGCAUUAAGCAUUCCGCCUGGGGAUUACGACCGCAAGGUUGAAACUCAAAUGAAUUGACGGA